UGGGGAAUAUUGCACAAUGGGGGGAACCCUGAUGCAGCAACGCCGCGUGAAGGAAGAAGUAAUUCGUUAUGUAAACUUCUAUCGACAGGGAAGAAAGAAAUGACGGUACCUGAAUAAGAAGCCCCGGCUAAUUACGUGCCAGCAGCCGCGGUAAUACGUAAGGGGCAAGCGUUAUCCGGAUUUACUGGGUGUAAAGGGUGAGUAGGCGGCGAUGCAAGUCAUAUGUGAAAUUCCGGGGCUUAACUCCGGAGCUGCAUAAGAAACUGCGUUGCUUGAGUGCAGGAGAGGCAAGCGGAAUUCCUAGUGUAGCGGUGAAAUGCGUAGAUAUUAGGAAGAACACCGGUGGCGAAGGCGGCUUGCUGGACUGUAACUGACGCUGAGUCACGAAAGCGUGGGGAGCGAACAGG
This 407-nucleotide ribosomal RNA is filed under the name uncultured bacterium. RNAcentral's name for it is "bacterial SSU rRNA". It matches the Rfam family "Bacterial small subunit ribosomal RNA", at positions 355 to 776 of the family's 1533-position model. The record is from RNAcentral.